This is a long non-coding RNA of Nothoprocta perdicaria, 1336 nucleotides long. RefSeq lists it as uncharacterized. The transcript is spliced from 2 exons. The record is from RefSeq and is a predicted model, not a curated record. NCBI's taxonomy places the organism in Eukaryota, Metazoa, Chordata, Aves, Tinamiformes, Tinamidae.
AGGAUUCAGAGGCGGAAGAGGUGGAGGAGGAGGAUUCAGAGGGAGAGGAUAUUAAAAAUGGAGCCACGAGAGUCUUCUUGCUGCCUUACCAUGUGAUCUGCAGAAAUGAAGAACAAGAUAAAUUUUCUAGUGGACCCUGAAAAAUUGUUUAUAAAGGACUUGAAACUGUAAAAUGACAGUGACUAUUUAUCAACAUACAAGGACAAUAUAACCUCUGUUGAAGAACUGAAGACUGCUCAGAGUAUACUUGAACUUUUUUACUAAGGCAAAUUAAUACUUAAACUGUUUCUUUCUUACAAACUAUUUUUUAUUAAUGCUYGACUUCAUGUUAGAGUUGGGAGUAAACAGUCCAUUGGUUCUUUUUUAUUAUCUCCACAGAUUCUUUAAAUCUGUGAAUCUGUUACCAAUGUGUUACUGAUCCCUUGUCCUCAUCCUGUCUUUAUGUUUAAUCCACUGGAUUGCUGUACAGUGAACAUACCAUUUAAACAAUCUUUGCAACCUUCAUCUACAAACUAAACUUCAAAAUUUUGUGUUGAUAGAACUUUGUUUUUAUAUCUAAUGUACACAAGGAAAAGACAGUAACAUAGGGUGCUUUAUGGAUUCUGCUGUAUAAAUCUGAAUGAAAACAAACGCAUCAUGACAUAUUCUUCUUAGAAGCUGCUUCUGUUAAUAAUUUCAAGUUUAAUCUGGUUCUUCUAAAUCACCUAAGUAGUUGUGUCUAAUUACACAAAUACUGAAAUUGUUUUGGGUUUUUCACAGCUUAUCCUGUUUCUCUGACAAUUUGAUGUCCUGAGAAAAACACUGGAAUGCACCCAGCUUGCCCAGAUCUAAGGUCCUUAGGUCUUCUGCCCACAUGAUGUUAAGUACUCCCUAAAGACAAAGCCUGCACGAGUCUUCAACACAGACUCUGUUGCCCUUAGACUCAUUAUAAGGAGUGUUGAAAAGCUAGUAACUGUCUCUUGAGAAUGGAGAAGGACAGGUUGCCUCUUUACUUUUUAGCUCUGGAGAGAGAAUAAGAAUGCAAAAAAAAAACAAAUCUUUCCCUCCAAAUUGCAUCUCAAGUGGAGAGUCCUUCCGCAGAGUCUUUUUUUGAGAAGAUCUGCAAAAUAAUAUAAGUGUUUUGAGCAUCUUUUUCAARUGCUCUAAAUGUUCUGAAAGGGCUGUCUGAGGAUCUCUAUCUUUUUUUUUGCUUCUUUUUUUCUUUAAGAAGUAAGCACAGUGAAAAUGAAUUAUGUUAACCUUCUACUUAAAGAAGAGAAAUUGAAAAAAGCUAAUUUACUGUCUGUACUGUUCUUGUCAUUUUAUCAAACUUGAUUGCUCAUUGUGAGUAAUUCUU